CAUACCUCUGGUGGACCUGUUGUGGCGCCAGCCGCAGUGCAGGGUAGCUAUGUAUGGACGGGAUAACCGCUGAAUGCAUCUAAGCGGGAAACCCACCUCAAAACGAGUUCUCCCUUGAGAGCCGUGGAAGACGACCACGUUGAUAGGCCGGGUGUGGAAGUGCGGCAACGCAUGGAGCUUACCGGUACUAAUAGCUCGAUUGGCUUGAUCGCUCUCAUUU
RNAcentral lists this ribosomal RNA (220 nucleotides) under Methylocystis sp. MitZ-2018. RNAcentral's name for it is "partial 23S ribosomal RNA". It matches the Rfam family "Bacterial large subunit ribosomal RNA", at positions 2702 to 2925 of the family's 2925-position model. The record is from RNAcentral. Lineage: Bacteria; Pseudomonadati; Pseudomonadota; Alphaproteobacteria; Hyphomicrobiales; Methylocystaceae.